GAGGCUACAGUGAAAGACCUCGAAAAAUUUAUUGCUACCUAGAUAAAGGAUAUGAACAACGUGCAACACAUAACACUCCACGCAAAGGUCAAAUCAACAACAAAAAAUAGGUGAGUUGUCUGAAAGACGAUAACAGAGCUUAAAUAACACCAGUGGCAAAGGAAAAAAGAAAAUGGGUAAAUUGCAUUAAAAACAAGUAGGAUGUCACGG
Molecule: long non-coding RNA, 210 nt
Organism: Dermacentor silvarum
Lineage: Eukaryota; Metazoa; Arthropoda; Arachnida; Ixodida; Ixodidae
Exons: 2
Source: RefSeq, a predicted model, not a curated record